This 443-nucleotide ribosomal RNA is filed under the name uncultured bacterium. Its description in RNAcentral is "partial 16S ribosomal RNA". It matches the Rfam family "Bacterial small subunit ribosomal RNA", at positions 338 to 795 of the family's 1533-position model. The record is from RNAcentral.
CCUACGGGCGGCAGCAGUGGGGGAUAUUGGACAAUGGGGGGAACCCUGAUCCAGCGACGCCGCGUGAGUGAAGAAGUAUUUCGGUAUGUAAAGCUCUGUCAGCAGGGAAGAAAGCAAUGACGGUACCUGACCAAGAAGCCCCGGCUAACUACGUGCCAGCAGCCGCGGUAAUACGUAGGGGGCAAGCGUUAUUCGGAAUUACUGGGUGUAAAGGGGGCGUAGACGGCUGUGCAAGUCUGGAGUGAAAGGCGGGGGCCCAACCCCCGGACUGCUCUGGAAACUGUAUGGCUGGAGUGCAGGAGAGGUAAGCGGAAUUCCUAGUGUAGCGGUGAAAUGCGUAGAUAUUAGGAGGAACACCAGUGGCGAAGGCGGCUUACUGGACUGUAACUGACGUUGAGGCUCGAAAGCGUGGGGAGCAAACAGGAUUAGAUACCCUGGUAGUC